This 72-nucleotide transfer RNA is filed under the name bacterium. RNAcentral's name for it is "tRNA-Arg". It matches the Rfam family "tRNA". From Rfam's summary of the family: Transfer RNA (tRNA) molecules are approximately 80 nucleotides in length. Their secondary structure includes four short double-helical elements and three loops (D, anti-codon, and T loops). Further hydrogen bonds mediate the characteristic L-shaped molecular structure. tRNAs have two regions of fundamental functional importance: the anti-codon, which is responsible for specific mRNA codon recognition, and the 3' end, to which the tRNAs corresponding amino acid is attached (by aminoacyl-tRNA synthetases). tRNAs cope with the degeneracy of the genetic code in two manners: having more than one tRNA (with a specific anti-codon) for a particular amino acid; and 'wobble' base-pairing, i.e. permitting non-standard base-pairing at the 3rd anti-codon position. RNAcentral also lists the same sequence under 1 other name. The record is from RNAcentral.
GCGCCCGUAGCUCAAUGGAUAGAGUAUUGGUCUUCGAAACCAAGGAUGAGGGUUCGAUUCCUUCCGGGCGCA